UUUCACCGUGUUAGCCAGGAUGGUCUUGAUUUCCUGACCUCAUGAUCCGCCCAUCUCAGCCUCCCAAAGUGCUGGCGUGAGCCACCGCACCCGGCCAAAAGUUUUUCACAAUUCUGGUUUUAGUGGUUUUUUUUUUUUCCUAAGUCUUGGUUUUCCAUAUCACUGUGAAUCUUGAUCACUUCACAUCUUUAUAGGUAUUUUAGCGGGAAGUCUGAAGAAGCUACCAAGAAGACAUUUCAAUAUGCACAAUUCUAAUUUAACAUUAAGAUGUUUUAUUUCAGCAAAAAUAAUAUAUUCUGUCAGAUUAAUACCAAUACCAGCUUAUUUUGAUGGAUAGGUGCAUUAUGCAUGUAAAAGCAACUUUAAUCUAUAAUAACAACAUUAGAUAUCUUAUUGAUAUGUUAGUAGACAUUUUUUCUAGUAUGGAAAAAUCAGAGCACAAUAAUAUCAAAAGAAUGUUGGAAGAGUUCUGAUAGUGGAAUAUGGGAACCUGCAUUUUUUUGAAUUAUACUAGAUUUUUAAACGUUACACUUGAAAAAAAUUAAAAACAAGUAAAACAAAUACUUUCACACAGAAAUUAUGAAACACUGGGAUUAAAACUAAAGGCACUCUUUCACAUGCCUUCCAGGGUGUUCCAACCCCAUGGGAAAUGCCUGCGUCUCAAAAUAAUAAGAACACCUUGUGUGAGAGGUUGCCAUGACAGCACAUAGGGCAGCAGGUGCCCCAUUGUUCUCUCUCUACAAAGACUUCACAGCAAUUUCUCAUCUCUCACUUAAAAGCUACUGACCAAGAUGCUGCCUUGUACAGGGGCUAACUCUGUGUUCAAUUGCAUUAGCACUGGAAAUCAGGAGAGCAAAUGGUCAGCCACUGGAUCCACAAACACAAUUGAAUUUGAUCCAAAUAAUGUUGGCAGAGCUCAGUCACAAACUGUGAGGAAAGUGACCAAAAUUGCCACUUCACAAUCUUGAAGAAUAUUUACGUAGAAUACUUUUCUCACAAUAUUCGAAUAAAUGUCAACAGACACAGAGAGACUUCAUUUGAAACAUGGAAAUAUAAGCAUUAUCUUUAUCUUUAAAAAUUAACAUAGACAUUUCAAAUUAUUUUCAAGUUUAUGUAUACAGACAUUUGAACUUGAACACACAGUUUCUCUUCCUAUGCCUUACCAUCCAAUACACUUUAUCUUAGUCCUUGAUAGAACCAACUGUGCAACUAGCCAUUAUUCAUCAAAGUGAAGUCCAAUGUUGAAUUAUUAGCAAUUUGCCUCCAAAUGACCACACUCGCUCCCCAGAAAUGGUUCUGAACCAGGCUGAAAUGGCUGAAAUAACAAACAUACAAUUUAGAAUCUGGAUAGGAACA
This 1356-nucleotide long non-coding RNA is filed under the name Homo sapiens (human). RNAcentral's name for it is "HSALNT0080792". The record is from RNAcentral. Lineage: Eukaryota; Metazoa; Chordata; Mammalia; Primates; Hominidae.